RNAcentral lists this ribosomal RNA (509 nucleotides) under uncultured Glomeraceae. Its description in RNAcentral is "SSU rRNA". It matches the Rfam family "Eukaryotic small subunit ribosomal RNA", at positions 569 to 1078 of the family's 1831-position model. The record is from RNAcentral. Lineage: Eukaryota; Fungi; Glomeromycota; Glomeromycetes; Glomerales; Glomeraceae.
GGCAGCCGCGGUAAUUCCAGCUCCAAUAGCGUAUAUUAAAGUUGUUGCAGUUAAAAAGCUCGUAGUUGAAUUUCGGGGUCAGUAGGUUGGUCGUGCCACCGGUACGUACUGGUCUCACUGAUUCCUCCUUCCUGAUGAGCUGUAAUGCCAUUAAUUUGGUGUUGCAGGGAAUCUGGACUAUUACUUUGAAAAAUUAGAGUGUUUAAAGCAGGCUAACGCUUGAAUACAUUAGCAUGGAAUAAUGAAAUAGGACGUUUGAUUCUAUUUUGUUGGUUUCUAGGAUCGACGUAAUGAUUAAUAGGGAUAGUUGGGGGCAUUAGUAUUCAAUUGUCAGAGGUGAAAUUCUUGGAUUUAUUGAAGACUAACUACUGCGAAAGCAUUUGCCAAGGAUGUUUUCAUUAAUCAAGAACGAAAGUUAGGGGAUCGAAGACGAUCAGAUACCGUCGUAGUCUUAACCAUAAACUAUGCCGACUAGGGAUCGGAUGAUGUUUAAUUUUUUAAUGUACUCA